Molecule: ribosomal RNA, 253 nt
Filed under: uncultured bacterium
Lineage: Bacteria
Description: partial 16S ribosomal RNA
Rfam family: Bacterial small subunit ribosomal RNA
Source: RNAcentral
UACGGGGGGGGCAAGCGUUGUUCGGAAUUACUGGGCGUAAAGGGUUCGUAGGUGGCCAACUAAGUCAGACGUGAAAUCCCUCAGCUUAACUGGGGAACUGCGUCUGAUACUGGUUGGCUUGAGUGCAGGAGAGGAACGCGGAAUUCCAGGUGUAGCGGUGAAAUGCGUAGAGAUCUGGAGGAACACCGAUGGCGAAGGCAGCCCCCUGGGCUAACACUGACGCUCAUGCACGAAAGCGUGGGGAGCAAACAGG